This is a non-coding RNA of Pelobates cultripes (western spadefoot toad), 183 nucleotides long. The record is from the annotation of a GenBank genome assembly. Lineage: Eukaryota; Metazoa; Chordata; Amphibia; Anura; Pelobatidae.
CAUGCUAGAGCACUUUUUCAAUGUGCUCCCCAACGAGAAGGCGACGAUGCAUCCGUAUGUCAAUCCAUACCAACUUUCGAUGCCAUUGACUCCACCUGCCAUGGUGACCACGGGUAACAGGGAAUCAGGGUUUGAUUCCGUACAGGGACCCUGACAUAUGGCUACUACAUGCAAGGAAGGCAG